This 431-nucleotide ribosomal RNA is filed under the name uncultured bacterium. RNAcentral's name for it is "partial 16S ribosomal RNA". It matches the Rfam family "Bacterial small subunit ribosomal RNA", at positions 29 to 507 of the family's 1533-position model. The record is from RNAcentral.
AACGAACGCUGGCGGCAGGCCUAACACAUGCAAGUCGAGCGCCCUUUCGGGGGAGCGGCGGACGGGUGAGUAACGCGUGGGAAUAUGCCCUUCUCUACGGAAUAGCCUCGGGAAACUGAGAGUAAUACCGUAUACGCCCUGUGGGGGAAAGAUUUAUCGGGGAAGGAUUAGCCCGCGUUGGAUUAGGUAGUUGGUGGGGUAAUGGCCUACCAAGCCGACGAUCCAUAGCUGGUUUGAGAGGAUGAUCAGCCACACUGGGACUGAGACACGGCCCAGACUUCUACGGGAGGCAGCAGUGGGGAAUCUUAGACAAUGGGGGCAACCCUGAUCUAGCCAUGCCGCGUGAGUGAUGAAGGCCUUAGGGUUGUAAAGCUCUUUCAGCUGGGAAGAUAAUGACGGUACCAGCAGAAGAAGCCCCGGCUAACUCCGUG